GUGGGGAAUAUUGGACAAUGGGGGGAACCCUGAUCCAGCCAUGCCGCGUGUGUGAAGAAGGCCUUUUGGUUGUAAAGCACUUUAAGCGAGGAGGAGGCUACCGAGAUUAAUACUCUUGGAUAGUGGACGUUACUCGCAGAAUAAGCACCGGCUAACUCUGUGCCAGCAGCCGCGGUAAUACAGAGGGUGCGAGCGUUAAUCGGAUUUACUGGGCGUAAAGCGCGCGUAGGUGGUUAAUUAAGUCAAAUGUGAAAUCCCCGAGCUUAACUUGGGAAUUGCAUGCGAUACUGGUUAGCUAGAGUAUGGGAGAGGAUGGUAGAAUUCCAGGUGUAGCGGUGAAAUGCGUAGAGAUCUGGAGGAAUGCCGAUGGCGAAAGCAGCCAUCUGGCCUAAUACUGACACUGAGGUGCGAAAGCAUGGGGAGCAAACAGGAUUAGAUACCCGUGUAGUCC
This 451-nucleotide ribosomal RNA is filed under the name uncultured bacterium. RNAcentral describes it as "partial 16S ribosomal RNA". It matches the Rfam family "Bacterial small subunit ribosomal RNA", at positions 354 to 796 of the family's 1533-position model. The record is from RNAcentral.